CUGCCGGGAGUCGCCGCGGCUCCGGCGCCGCUGCCAUGCACCCCUCUGCGGCCGGCCGGCGGAGGAGGCGGAGGAGGAAGAGAUGCUAAUGAGGGAGGCGGUGUCAGGGCUCCGCCGGGGUUGGGGGGUGCUCGCAAGCGCGGUCUGGCCCCGGCAGCUCCGAGCCCCGGUAGCGAUCCCUGCCCGCUCCCUCUGCGUCGCUCGGGCCGGAGCGGGCUCAGUCCCCUCCCGUUUUAAUAUCUGUGUCUGGCUGAAAUCCCUCAGGAUUCCAACACGGUUUUUUUCUAAACAUCAGCAUUUCUUAAACAAAAAACCCCACUUCAAUGGCACAGAUUUAAAUCUGCAUUUAUAUCAUAAGAACUAUAUGAGGGUGGAUGGAGUUUUCAGGCCAUUCGUUACCCAGAUUGAUGGGUGACCAAUGAAAUUGGAAAAGGAAGCAAUUAUUUUUCCAAGUCCAGUGGUAGACACCCAGUUGCAGGUAUGUUUAAAUACUGCUCAUGGGAAGUUUAGAGAUUUUUCAUUUCCCUGAGUAAAG
This 535-nucleotide long non-coding RNA is filed under the name Zonotrichia albicollis (white-throated sparrow). RNAcentral's name for it is "lncRNA (ENSZALG00000013878.1)". Lineage: Eukaryota; Metazoa; Chordata; Aves; Passeriformes; Passerellidae. The record is from RNAcentral.